RNAcentral lists this ribosomal RNA (575 nucleotides) under uncultured bacterium. RNAcentral describes it as "bacterial SSU rRNA". It matches the Rfam family "Bacterial small subunit ribosomal RNA", at positions 102 to 669 of the family's 1533-position model. The record is from RNAcentral.
ACGGGUGAGUAAUGCGUAGGAAUCUACCUUUUAGCGGGGGACAACUCGGGGAAACUCGAGCUAAUACCGCAUACAGCCUAAGGGUGAAAGCGUGGGACAGGGUAACCUGCCACGCACUAGAAGAUGAGCCUACGUCGGAUUAGCUAGUUGGUAGGGUAAAGGCCUACCAAGGCGAAGAUCCGUAGCUGGUCUGAGAGGAUGACCAGCCACACUGGGACUGAGACACGGCCCAGACUCCUACGGGAGGCAGCAGUGGGGAAUAUUGGACAAUGGGGGCAACCCUGAUCCAGCAAUGCCGCGUGUGUGAAGAAGGCCUGCGGGUUGUAAAGCACUUUAGUUGGGGAAGAAGCGGUGUGUUUUAAUAAAGCACAACGUUGACGUUACCCAAAGAAUAAGCACCGGCUAACUCUGUGCCAGCAGCCGCGGUAAUACAGAGGGUGCGAGCGUUAAUCGGAAUUACUGGGCGUAAAGGGUGCGUAGGUAGUGUGUUAAGUUGUAUGUGAAAUCCCCGGGCUUAACCUGGGAACUGCAUAUGAUACUGAUAGACUAGAGUCGAGUAGAGGGAAGUGGAAUUU